GUGCUCACCUGGGCAGUACGUGUACUGAAACUGGGCGGCACAGAGCAGAUCAGUGUGGCCCCUGCACAAGAUGACAGGCAAAGUCACGAAGCACUCCAUGUUUUA
Mustela putorius furo (domestic ferret) is the source of this 105-nucleotide small nuclear RNA. NCBI's taxonomy places the organism in Eukaryota, Metazoa, Chordata, Mammalia, Carnivora, Mustelidae. The record is from Ensembl.